RNAcentral lists this ribosomal RNA (375 nucleotides) under uncultured bacterium. RNAcentral describes it as "bacterial SSU rRNA". It matches the Rfam family "Bacterial small subunit ribosomal RNA", at positions 524 to 898 of the family's 1533-position model. The record is from RNAcentral.
UACGUAGGGAGCAAGCGUUGUCCGGAUUUACUGGGUGUAAAGGGUGCGUAGGCGGCACUGCAAGUCAGGUGUGAAAACCAUGGGCUUAACUUAUGGAUUGCACUUGAAACUGUGGUGCUUGAGUGAAGUAGAGGCAGGCGGAAUUCCCGGUGUAGCGGUGAAAUGCGUAGAGAUCGGGAGGAACACCAGUGGCGAAGGCGGCCUGCUGGGCUUUAACUGACGCUGAGGCACGAAAGCAUGGGUAGCAAACAGGAUUAGAUACCCUGGUAGUCCAUGCCGUAAACGAUGAUUACUAGGUGUGGGGGGUCUGACCCCUUCCGUGCCGGAGUUAACACAAUAAGUAAUCCACCUGGGAAGUACGACCGCAAGGUUGAA